Molecule: non-coding RNA, 639 nt
Organism: Puma concolor (puma)
Lineage: Eukaryota; Metazoa; Chordata; Mammalia; Carnivora; Felidae
Source: the annotation of a RefSeq genome assembly
AUGAGGCCUAAGACAGGCCAGGUGGGCUAUGAGACCCCCAGGGGGCAGAGCCCUGGCCCCAAGCAGCUCUGGCCCCUGCUGUUGCUGGGCUUGGCCAUGGGCGCCCAUUGCCAGCUGCCCCCAACGACAGCAGCACCACCAAGCAGGGUCCCAGGCCCUGGAGCCCCAGCAGGAAGCAGCCCUCGGAGCCUAUGGGACAGGUUCCUGUUCUGGCCUGGCCCCCACGGGGCAGGCCCCAGGUGCUGGCCCGGUGGGUUUUGGUCCGAAACUCAAUCACCCUGGCUUGUUUUCAGUGAAGGAACCCAGCUCACCGUCCUAGGUCAGCCCAAGUCCGCACCCUUGGUCAUGCUCUUCCUGCCCUUCUCUGAGGAGCUCAGAGCCAACAAGGCCAUCCUGGUGUGCCUCAUCAGUGACUUCUACCCUGGCAACUUGACGGUGACCUGGAAGGCAGAAGGGACCCCUGUCACCCAGGGCGUGGAGACCACCAAGCCUUUCAAACAGAGCAACAACAAGUAUGUGGCCAGCAGCUACCUGAGUCUGUCACCUGACAAGUGGAAAUCUUAUAGCAAUUUUACCUGCCAGGUCACACACGAGGGGAGCACCGUGGAGAAGAGGGUGGUGCCCUCAGAGUGCUCUUAG